Molecule: ribosomal RNA, 532 nt
Filed under: uncultured archaeon
Lineage: Archaea
Description: bacterial SSU rRNA
Rfam family: Archaeal small subunit ribosomal RNA
Source: RNAcentral
CAGCAGGCGCGAAAACUUUACAAUGCCGGCAACGGCGAUAAGGGGACCUCGAGUGCCAGGUUACAAAUCUGGCUGUCGAGAUGCCUAAAAAGCAUUUCAUAGCAAGGGCCGGGCAAGACCGGUGCCAGCCGCCGCGGUAACACCGGCGGCUCGAGUGGUAACCGUUAUUAUUGGGUCUAAAGGGUCUGUAGCCGGCCGGAUAAGUCUCUUGGGAAAUCCAGCAGCUCAACUGUUGGGCUUUCAGGAGAUACUGUCUGGCUCGAGGCCGGGAGAGGUGAGAGGUACUUCAGGGGUAGGGGUGAAAUCUUGUAAUCCUUGAAGGACCACCAGUGGCGAAGGCGUCUCACCAGAACGGACCUGACGGCAAGGGACGAAAGCUAGGGGCACGAACCGGAUUAGAUACCCGGGUAGUCCUAGCCGUAAACGAUACUCGCUAGGUGUCGGCCACGGUGCGACCGUUGUCGGUGCCGUAGGGAAGCCGUGAAGCGAGCCACCUGGGAAGUACGGCCGCAAGGCUGAAACUUAAAGGAAU